Long non-coding RNA from Leopardus geoffroyi (Geoffroy's cat), 613 nucleotides. RefSeq lists it as uncharacterized. The transcript has 3 exons. NCBI's taxonomy places the organism in Eukaryota, Metazoa, Chordata, Mammalia, Carnivora, Felidae. The record is from RefSeq and is a predicted model, not a curated record.
ACGCAGAGCCUGAUGUGAGCUCGAACUCACAAACCUGGAGAUCAUGACCUGAGCUGAAAUCAAGAGUUGGAGGCUUAACCGACCAAGCCACCGGGGCACCCCACCGAAGGAGCUUUCUUGAAGGAUCAUCAAAGUUUGGAGCCGGAAGCAGUGUUGGAGAACAUCUAGUGAAGUGCUUUGGAAACACACAUGUUUGCUCUCAGAGUGGGUUCAAGGGGAUGCCUGGCUAAUAUGGACUCGCUGUGGCCUUUUCUAGCCAUCAGAGAAGGGCAUCCUCUUCUCCUCUACAAGACUGCAAAUGUCACAAGUCGGCAGUCAAGUCUGGGUACAGUUGGAUCAAGGAGUUCGGUUGACACAUCAAAAUUGACACGUCUUCCUCCUAGAUCAAUUGUUUUCCCUAUUGGCUUCACUCUCAGGCAGACUCUCCCCAUGUAGCAGUUCGUGGUUACAUGAACGAAAACAUCCCCUUCUUUUCCUUAAGCCAGUUUGAGUUGGGUUUCUGUCACUUUCAAUAAAGAAAACGUCUUGACUAAUACUCUCUCAACUAUUCAGAGCAUGGCAUGGUGUUGAUAAAUGGAAUGAAUAAAGAAAUGGGACCUGAGGAUGGAGAAAC